Long non-coding RNA from Calidris pugnax (ruff), 540 nucleotides. RefSeq lists it as uncharacterized. The transcript is spliced from 3 exons. The record is from RefSeq and is a predicted model, not a curated record. Lineage: Eukaryota; Metazoa; Chordata; Aves; Charadriiformes; Scolopacidae.
ACUACCCGGGCAGCGCGGCGGGACCAGGCCCCUUUCCCCGCCCGCCGCCUUGUGGCUCCGCGGUGGGACCGGGCCUCCCUCCCCGCCCGCCGCCAUGGGGCACCGCUGCAGAGCUGCGCCGGGGCGGCCGCCGUGAGGGCUUCCAGCUGGUGCCCGGCUGAGGCGCCGGUGAUGGGACGGCUGUAACACAGAGCUCGAGGCUGGCAAAGAGCUCUCUGGGGGACACAACCCUCAGUUUGCAUCCUUGGCUGUAGGAGCCGCCUCGCUGAGGCAGCGGUAGCUGUUGGAAGAAAAGGAAAUGAGCUGUUGGUGCCGCUUUGAAGAUUCCCAUUUGAAAGAGAUGGAGAAGAUGGAAACUUCCCCAAUUUAAGUGGGGCUGCUGGAGAAGUCCUUGUUUUCAGGAUCUGGAUGCAGUAACUUGAAAUAGCAAAGGCGGUUGGGGGCAAGGUUAUAAUACGAAUUACAUAUAGAAUUUGUUAAUCCCUUUCACUGCUUGUUUAAAAUGAUAUUCUUAUUAAACUUAUUUGUAUUUUAACUUGA